This is a non-coding RNA of Pimephales promelas (fathead minnow), 486 nucleotides long. The record is from RefSeq and is a predicted model, not a curated record. NCBI's taxonomy places the organism in Eukaryota, Metazoa, Chordata, Actinopteri, Cypriniformes, Leuciscidae.
UAUUUUGAAACGUGCAACUUCCGGAUGACGUCCGUGUUUAUGAUUGAACGUGUUUACGUUGCAUUUCAAAACAAUCACGAUAAUAUCUUCCAGUCAGAGAUUUAUUUACAGCAAAUAAUUACUGUGUUUGUAACUUAGAUGGUCCAGUAGAGUGUGCUGAAGACUCCAGCCCCUUCUCUUCCUUUCCCUUUGACCCAGACCCUUAUAAUGUGGCCCCUCUGCACCUAUCAUCAACUGCUAGCUUUCCUCCUCACCUUCCUCAGCUAUGUCCUGCUUCACUCGUCACGUAAGACUUUUAGUAAUGUGAAAGUUAGCAUCUCAGCACAAUGGACCCCGUCGGGAUUGCAGCAGAAUGGCAGCUCUGUAGCUUUGUCUCCUGGAGUGACAUGGGAGGAUAACAAACUGUUUGCUGAUGUGGGGGAGGCUACUUUGUUUUUGGGUGCUCUGGACUCAAUCUUUCUCUUCUCUUAUGCUGUGGUAAGUUAA